UUCACCACCCAUCCUGUGAGCUUGCCCAGCACUGAGUCCAGGGGAGCCUGGGUGAAAGGGAGCCCUGUCUCUCCAGAGCAAGAUGAUUGGCGUUGGAAGCAGAGUCCCUGAUUCCAUCAGGCAGCUUGUUUGUGUGAUCCAAGUGGUCUGAUUGAGUCUUGCACCAGUUUGCAGCAUGUAUGCAUUAGUGUGUGUGUGUGUGUGUGUGUGUGUGUGCACGUGCAUGUGCAUGGGGUGCUGAUCAGCUAAGAACUGAAAACUCUUGGGUUCCAAAAGAGAACUAGUUUCUAAUAGUUGAUCAGGACCCUGGAAUUUAGUGAGAGCCCCACGAAAGACAGAAGUGUCCUGUUGAUUCAUGACAGGCUGCUUUGGGGGUGAAAAGGACCCGGAUGUUCGUGUCCACAGUAGACCUGGAACACAGACGGGUGCGUGCAGGAUCCUGGAUUCUUCCCUAGCAUGAGCCUGGGGCCCUCCCUCCUCCUGCCUCUUGGGGGGCAGGUGUAGCCCCCAGCAUUUUCUGGUUGGUCCCAGGUGCAGGGCUUGGCUACUCUUCUGCACAUACGUCCUGGAUCUCUAUGAUUGACAGGUGACACUCGUUCACACAGCCAACUGGCCACUGUCUACUCCCCCGCCUCGCUCUGCUGCCUUCCCUCCUCAUCACCCAGUAUUGCCUGGAUACCAAGGAUGAAAAGAAAGUGAAGAGGCUGCUCCUGCUCAACUGUGGGUAAAGUGAAGAAGAUAUAAAGGGGAGAAGAGAGGAAAGGAAGAGCAGGGUUCUGACUCAGGAGUCUGCUUGUUGACUCUGUAUGCCUUCCUUUGGGAAUCCUCUCUCUCCAUUUUAUAAGAGUGCUCGGUCCCUAUGGUCCAGGAGGAGCCAGCUGCAUCCUUCACCCUCACUGCAAAGGACAGGUGUACCCUAGGCCUGGACAUUUGAGAGUUUUCUUGUGGGGACAACCUUGGAUCCAAAUCCGUCAGCCCUGCCUGUGUGUCUGCUGUGUCUUUCCAGAAUUCUCAAUUCAUCUUCAUCAGGUCACCAGCAUCAAGGACCAUGGAAACUCUGAGCUUCCAGGGUCCUUCUUAGCAUCACAGUUCAGGAAAUUACCUCCAGUUCUGCCAAAGCCACAGAAGGUCUCAUUGGUGUCUUUGUACGCGGGACACUCAGAUACUCUGUGUGACUUUUUCUACCCCCAUUUCCUGAGGAGGAAGCAGAAGAUUUGGGAAAGAGACACGGCUGGCCCCUGGCCUCUUGGCUACCCUGAUGGAAAGAUACCAAAAUACAGUUCCAGGAACCAGACCUGGGACUGUGAGCAGACCCACAUCUUCGUGCUGACACCUCCUUGCUUCACAUGGAGCCGCACCCAUCAGGAGAAAGAGACCAGCUGCAAUGUUAAGGCCUGCUGAAUAUAGUUAAGAUUUCCAUGUGUCAUAUAAGCAUCUUUCAGCAAGUACCAAGUUUGAGAGUGAAGACAACUGUGAAGACAGUAAGAUUCACUAUGAUGCCCAUUCUGGUUUGACUAUUAUCUUCUUUUGAAGUCCUGUAAUGUCUACAAUGUUUUGGUUUUAUUUAAUUUCAUUAUAACUGAUGAUACAGGCAGUUCUUUUUAAGAUAGCAAGAGGCAUUAUGGCAACCUUUGUUGAUCACCUUGUAUUCUGUUUUUAUAUUAUGUACUAUGUCCAUCCUUUUGAUUUGACUGACUCUGUUUUGUUAUGUCAUAUUUGGUUUUAUUCUCUUCAAAAAAAAAGUAAUAAGAACUGUGAGAGUAAUAAAACCCAAAAUGUGUAAUUGUCAUUGUAAAAAAGAGAGGAAAAGAAAGUGCUCUAAAGGAUAUAAUUGCAUGUAUAUUUAAGCGCAUAAGAUAGAUAACCAUAUUACUGAGUUUUUGUUAGAUCAUUGAACAGAACUGUUUGCAGUCUCACUGUUUGAAUGUCCACUUUAUAUGCUUUAAUUUUGUAACUUGAACAACUAUUUCUAAGAUGACAAUAUAUAAUCUAUUAACUAGUGAUUCCCUACUGUUUGUUUUUUUUUUAAAUUCUGUAUAAC
Molecule: long non-coding RNA, 2041 nt
Organism: Cavia porcellus (domestic guinea pig)
Lineage: Eukaryota; Metazoa; Chordata; Mammalia; Rodentia; Caviidae
Exons: 4
Source: RefSeq, a predicted model, not a curated record